This 497-nucleotide ribosomal RNA is filed under the name uncultured bacterium. RNAcentral describes it as "partial 16S ribosomal RNA". It matches the Rfam family "Bacterial small subunit ribosomal RNA", at positions 28 to 507 of the family's 1533-position model. The record is from RNAcentral.
GAUGAACGCUGGCGGCGUGCCUAAUACAUGCAAGUCGAGCGAACGGACGAGAAGCUUGCUUCUCUGAUGUUAGCGGCGGACGGGUGAGUAACACGUGGAUAACCUACCUAUAAGACUCGGAUAACUUCGGGAAACCGGAGCUAAUACCGGAUGAUAUUUUGAACCGCAUGGUUCAAAAGUGAAAGACGGUCUUGCUGUCACUUAUAGAUGGAUCCGCGCUGCAUUAGCUAGUUGGUAAGGUAACGGCUUACCAAGGCAACGAUGCAUAGCCGACCUGAGAGGGUGAUCGGCCACACUGGAACUGAGACACGGUCCAGACUCCUACGGGAGGCAGCAGUAGGGAAUCUUCCGCAAUGGGCGAAAGCCUGACGGAGCAACGCCGCGUGAGUGAUGAAGGUCUUCGGAUCGUAAAACUCUGUUAUUAGGGAAGAACAUAUGUGUAAGUAACUGUGCACAUCUUGACGGUACCUAAUCAGAAAGCCACGGCUAACUACGUG